This 1077-nucleotide ribosomal RNA is filed under the name Limosilactobacillus fermentum. RNAcentral's name for it is "bacterial SSU rRNA". It matches the Rfam family "Bacterial small subunit ribosomal RNA", at positions 337 to 1406 of the family's 1533-position model. The record is from RNAcentral. Lineage: Bacteria; Bacillati; Bacillota; Bacilli; Lactobacillales; Lactobacillaceae.
UCCUACGGGAGGCAGCAGUAGGGAAUUUUUCCCCAAUGGGGGCAAGCCUGAUGGAGCAACACCGCGUGAGUGAAGAAGGGUUUCGGCUCGUAAAGCUUUGUUGUUAAAGAAGAACACGUAUGAGAGUAACUGUUCAUACGUUGACGGUAUUUAACCAGAAAGUCACGGCUAACUACGUGCCAGCAGCCGCGGUAAUACGUAGGUGGCAAGCGUUAUCCGGAUUUAUUGGGCGUAAAGAGAGUGCAGGCGGUUUUCUAAGUCUGAUGUGAAAGCCUUCGGCUUAACCGGAGAAGUGCAUCGGAAACUGGAUAACUUGAGUGCAGAAGAGGGUAGUGGAACUCCAUGUGUAGCGGUGGAAUGCGUAGAUAUAUGGAAGAACACCAGUGGCGAAGGCGGCUACCUGGUCUGCAACUGACGCUGAGACUCGAAAGCAUGGGUAGCGAACAGGAUUAGAUACCCUGGUAGUCCAUGCCGUAAACGAUGAGUGCUAGGUGUUGGAGGGUUUCCGCCCUUCAGUGCCGGAGCUAACGCAUUAAGCACUCCGCCUGGGGAGUACGACCGCAAGGUUGAAACUCAAAGGAAUUGACGGGGGCCCGCACAAGCGGUGGAGCAUGUGGUUUAAUUCGAAGCUACGCGAAGAACCUUACCAGGUCUUGACAUCUUGCGCCAACCCUAGAGAUAGGGCGUUUCCUUCGGGAACGCAAUGACAGGUGGUGCAUGGUCGUCGUCAGCUCGUGUCGUGAGAUGUUGGGUUAAGUCCCGCAACGAGCGCAACCCUUGUUACUAGUUGCCAGCAUUAAGUUGGGCACUCUAGUGAGACUGCCGGUGACAAACCGGAGGAAGGUGGGGACGACGUCAGAUCAUCAUGCCCCUUAUGACCUGGGCUACACACGUGCUACAAUGGACGGUACAACGAGUCGCGAACUCGCGAGGGCAAGCAAAUCUCUUAAAACCGUUCUCAGUUCGGACUGCAGGCUGCAACUCGCCUGCACGAAGUCGGAAUCGCUAGUAAUCGCGGAUCAGCAUGCCGCGGUGAAUACGUUCCCGGGCCUUGUACACACCGCCCGUCACACCAUG